AUUGAACGCUGGCGGCGGGCCUAACACAUGCAAGUCGAACGGUAGCACAGAGAGCUUGCUCUCGGGUGACGAGUGGCGGACGGGUGAGUAAUGUCUGGGAAACUGCCCGAUGGAGGGGGAUAACUACUGGAAACGGUAGCUAAUACCGCAUAACGUCGCAAGACCAAAGUGGGGGACCUUCGGGCCUCACACCAGCGGAUGUGCCCAGAUGGGAUUAGCUAGUAGGUGGGGUAAUGGCUCACCUAGGCGACGGUCCCUAGCUGGUCUGAGAGGAUGACCAGCCACACUGGAACUGAGACACGGUCCAGACUCCUACGGGAGGCAGCAGUGGGGAAUAUUGCACAAUGGGCGCAAGCCUGAUGCAGCCAUGCCGCGUGUAUGAAGAAGGCCUUCGGGUUGUAAAGUACUUUCAGCGGGGAGGAAGGCGGUGAAGUUAAUAGCUUCACCGAUUGACGUUACCCGCAGAAGAAGCACCGGCUAACUCCGUGCCAGCAGCCGCCGUAA
Molecule: ribosomal RNA, 504 nt
Filed under: uncultured bacterium
Lineage: Bacteria
Description: partial 16S ribosomal RNA
Rfam family: Bacterial small subunit ribosomal RNA
Source: RNAcentral